Molecule: long non-coding RNA, 263 nt
Filed under: Nicotiana benthamiana
Lineage: Eukaryota; Viridiplantae; Streptophyta; Magnoliopsida; Solanales; Solanaceae
Description: long non-coding RNA (NBEN_LNC019617)
Source: RNAcentral
GGCAUAUCUAGUAAAUAACCAAAACAAGUGUUCUUGAAAGCACUUAAUUGGGUUGGGGAUAAUAAAGACUUUAUCUAGGAUGGUAUCGUUGCAUCGCACAAGCUAUGGAACCGUAUCACACCAUAAUCGACAUUAUGUUGAGCAUAGUAAGGUCCAUUCUGCAAAAAAAAGUAUAUUAAUUGUCGUUAGAAUGAAGCUAGAUUUCAGCAUUACAAUAUAUAAUGUAACAUAUCAUAUAACUACAUUUUUAACAUACAAACUAC